This 160-nucleotide ribosomal RNA is filed under the name Marchalina hellenica. RNAcentral describes it as "partial 12S ribosomal RNA". Lineage: Eukaryota; Metazoa; Arthropoda; Insecta; Hemiptera; Margarodidae. The record is from RNAcentral.
AGCCCGCUGUUAUCGAAGCCCUUUCUGGGUUUUUGGGUUGGAGUGGGAUUGUGGUUGGUGGUGAGGGUAUGUCCGGAGAAACGGUCUUGGUUUUCUUUUUCUGUAAUAGGAAUUUAGACUUAUUUGGAAUCUAUUCCGUAGGGGAAAAUCUAAUCUAAGU